AGCUUUGUGCAGUGGCAGUAUCGUAGCCAAUGAGGCUUAUCCAAGGCGUGAUUAUUGCUAACUGAAAACAGAAAUUAUUUGUGUGACAAGUUAAAUAGCCUUCUAGAACAUGAGACUUUGUAUCUGAGAAUGGAGAUGUCUG
Small nuclear RNA from Canis lupus familiaris (dog), 142 nucleotides. RefSeq annotates it as U4 spliceosomal RNA. The transcript has a single exon. NCBI's taxonomy places the organism in Eukaryota, Metazoa, Chordata, Mammalia, Carnivora, Canidae. The record is from RefSeq and is a predicted model, not a curated record.